This 471-nucleotide ribosomal RNA is filed under the name uncultured bacterium. RNAcentral describes it as "bacterial SSU rRNA". It matches the Rfam family "Bacterial small subunit ribosomal RNA", at positions 247 to 715 of the family's 1533-position model. The record is from RNAcentral.
AGUUGGCGGGGUAACGGCCCACCAAACCGACGAUGGAUAGGGGUUCUGAGAGGAAGGUCCCCCACAUUGGUACUGAGACACGGACCAAACUCCUACGGGAGGCAGCAGUGAGGAAUAUUGGUCAAUGGCCGAGAGGCUGAACCAGCCAAGUCGCGUGAAGGAAGAAGGAUCUAUGGUUUGUAAACUUCUUUUAUAGGGGAAUAAAGUGGAGGACGUGUCCUUUUUUGUAUGUACCCUAUGAAUAAGCAUCGGCUAACUCCGUGCCAGCAGCCGCGGUAAUACGGAGGAUGCGAGCGUUAUCCGGAUUUAUUGGGUUUAAAGGGUGCGUAGGUGGUGAUUUAAGUCAGCGGUGAAAGUUUGUGGCUCAACCAUAAAAUUGCCGUUGAAACUGGGUUACUUGAGUGUGUUUGAGGUAGGCGGAAUGCGUGGUGUAGCGGUGAAAUGCAUAGAUAUCACGCAGAACUCCGAUUG